GACGAACGCUGGCGGCGUGCUUAACACAUGCAAGUCGAGCGGAAAGGCCCUUCGGGGUACUCGAGCGGCGAACGGGUGAGUAACACGUUAGUAACCUGCCCUAGGCUUUGGGAUAACCCCGGGACACCGGGGCUAAUACCGGAUAUGACCUGGUUCCGCAUGGUGUUGGGUGGAAAGUUUUUUCGGCCUGGGAUGGGCUCGCGGCCUAUCAGCUUGUUGGUGGGGUGAUGGCCUACCAAGGCGAUGACGGGUAGCCGGCCUGAGAGGGCGACCGGCCACACUGGGACUGAGACACGGCCCAGACUCCUACGGGAGGCAGCAGUGGGGAAUAUUGCACAAUGGGCGGAAGCCUGAUGCAGCGACGCCGUGUGAGGGAUGAAGGCCUUCGGGUUGUAAACCUCUUUCAGCAGGGACGAAGCGUGAGUGACGGUACCUGCAGAAGAAGCGCCGGCCAACUACGUG
This 462-nucleotide ribosomal RNA is filed under the name uncultured bacterium. RNAcentral's name for it is "partial 16S ribosomal RNA". It matches the Rfam family "Bacterial small subunit ribosomal RNA", at positions 28 to 507 of the family's 1533-position model. The record is from RNAcentral.